GCAACAGGUCUUGCUCACUCAUUGUUUGGUGGUUCGGUGGGCCCCGCCCACAAGCAACCAACUGUCAUUGAGUGACGUUUGUUGUCCUGCUUGGUUAUUGGCCAGCACUGCAGUGGGCCCUGCCCAUCAGUUAACUGUCAAUGAAGAACCACUGGGACACAGCAUAACAUUCAUCUGGUAGAGAGGUACAGGGACAUCAUUACCUGACCAUAACCGGACCUCAAGAACAAAGGUUCUGACACUGAGAAGUCUCCAACAACUAACCAUGUCCAUCCCUCACCUAUUGCUUUUAAAGCGACCUGCUGAAAGCUUUCAGUAACUCAGGUUCUUAGGGCAUGAGCAACCCAUCUCCUUGUACGAAUCUGUAAUAAACCUUUCUCUGUUCCAAACUUUUAA
Odocoileus virginianus texanus is the source of this 396-nucleotide non-coding RNA. Lineage: Eukaryota; Metazoa; Chordata; Mammalia; Artiodactyla; Cervidae. The record is from RefSeq and is a predicted model, not a curated record.